This 233-nucleotide ribosomal RNA is filed under the name uncultured bacterium. Its description in RNAcentral is "partial small subunit ribosomal RNA". It matches the Rfam family "Bacterial small subunit ribosomal RNA", at positions 26 to 288 of the family's 1533-position model. The record is from RNAcentral.
AGGAUGAACGCUGGCGGUCUGCUUAACACAUGCAAGUCGAACGGAGUAGAAAUACUUAGUGGCGGACGGGUGAGUAACGCGUGAGAAUCUACCUUCAGGACGGAGACAACAGUUGGAAACGACUGCUAACCCCCGAUGUACUGAAAAGGCAAAUAUUUAUAGCCUGAAGAAGAGCUCGCGUCCGAUUAGCUAGUUGGUGGGGUAAUGGCUCACCAAGGCAACGAUCGGUAGCC